CGUGACACUCACGCUCCAGGGUUUAGUUAAAUAUAUCUGGAGGUAAAAAUGUCCUGGUCAUCAAGGAAAAGCAUCAUCGAGAGGCUAUCAGUCACUGUGCUGGGACUUUUGUGCACCCAGGUUUGCUGUGUGACAGGCGCGGAGGUGGAGCAGAAGCCCCCAGUCCUGAGUCUCCAGGAGGGAGCCAGUGCCACGCUACAGUGCAAUUUUUCCACCUCUGCCACUAAUGUGCAGUGGUACCGCCAGGAUCCUGGGGGCCGCCUCAUCCUCCUGUUUUACAUUCCUUCGGGGACAAAGAAGAAUGGAAGGUUAAGCUCUACGACAGUAGCUAAGGAACGCCGCAGCUCGCUGUACAUUUCCUUGUCCCAGACCACAGACUCAGCCACUUAUUACUGUGCCGCAGAACCACAGUGCUCCCCAGGCACCUGCAGCCUGUGCACAAACCCUCAGCUGUUCUUGGCUCCUCCUCCAGCCGGCUCCUCCAGCAGGAGCCCAUCACGCAGCACCUGCACAGCUCACUACUCUUUACUCUAUUGGUAGAGUUGGAACCAGACACUUUUUGGUCCUACAGAUUUGGGACGUUGGUCUUCAUCUUCCCUUCUCAACCCGGUAUCUCUUUCUCUGCACUAUAAACCACUAUAAACCUCUAACUUGGAACAUGCAAAAUAGCUAA
Molecule: non-coding RNA, 673 nt
Organism: Neogale vison (American mink)
Lineage: Eukaryota; Metazoa; Chordata; Mammalia; Carnivora; Mustelidae
Source: the annotation of a RefSeq genome assembly